RNAcentral lists this transfer RNA (63 nucleotides) under Haemadipsa tianmushana. RNAcentral describes it as "tRNA-Pro". RNAcentral also lists the same sequence under 1 other name. The record is from RNAcentral. Lineage: Eukaryota; Metazoa; Annelida; Clitellata; Hirudinida; Haemadipsidae.
CAGAAUAUAGUUAAUUUUUUAUAACAUAAAUUUUGGAGAUUUAAGUAUUUCAUAAUUUUCUGA